This 477-nucleotide ribosomal RNA is filed under the name uncultured bacterium. RNAcentral describes it as "partial 16S ribosomal RNA". It matches the Rfam family "Bacterial small subunit ribosomal RNA", at positions 28 to 507 of the family's 1533-position model. The record is from RNAcentral.
GAUUAACGCUGGCGGCGUGCAUAACACAUGCAAGUCGAACGAUGAAACUUAACUGAUUUCUUCGGAAUGAUUUUAAGUGGAUUAGUGGCGGACGGGUGAGUAACGCGUGAGUAACCUGCCUUGGAGAAGGGGAUAGCCUUUGGAAACGAAGAAUAAUACCCUAUGAUAUGAUAAUAUCUCAUGAUAUUAUCAUCAAAGAUUUAUCGCUCUAAGAUGGACUUGCGUCUGAUUAGUUAGUUGGUGAGGUAACAGCUCACCAAGGCAGCGAUCAGUAGCCGGCUUGAGAGAGUGUACGGCCACAUUGGGACUGAGACACGGCCCAGACUCCUACGGGAGGCAGCAGUGGGGAAUUUUGCACAAUGGGGGAAACCCUGAUGCAGCGACGCCGCGUGAUUUAGAAGGCCUUCGGGUUGUAAAAAUCUUUUGUAUGGGAAGAAAAUGACAGUACUAUACGAAUAAGGACCGGCUAAUUACGUG